GACUUCUGGUUUAAUGCACCUGGCCCGCGGCUCUUUAAGAAUUUCACCUCUGACCGGCCAAUACUAGCACCCCCAACUAUCCCUAUCAAUCAUUACUUCAGUUAUAGAAACCAACAAAAUAGAACCGAAGUCCUAGAUUAUUAUUCCAUGCUAAUGUAUUCAUAGCAAUAGCCUGCUUUAAACACACUAAUUUUUUCAAAUGAUCUAUCCCGAAUCCGGCCCAGUUAAGGGUAGACCCGUUCCCCAGAAGGAUGGUAAACGCGCGCCGGCACUCACAAGGCUAUUGGAUUCGGUCAAGACUAACUUAUGCGAAAGCAUU
This 319-nucleotide ribosomal RNA is filed under the name uncultured Rhogostoma. Its description in RNAcentral is "partial 18S ribosomal RNA". The record is from RNAcentral. Lineage: Eukaryota; Cercozoa; Thecofilosea; Cryomonadida.